AGGACGAACGCUGGCGGCGUGCUUAACACAUGCAAGUCGAGCGAGGCCCGUCCUUCGGGACGGUGCCCUAGCGGCGAACGGGUGAGUAACACGUGGGCAACCUGCCCCUAGCACUGGGAUAAGCCUGGGAAACUGGGUCUAAUACCGGAUAUGACCUCGCGAUGCAUGUCGUGGGGUGAAAGCCUUGUGCGGCUAGGGAUGGGCCCGCGGCCUAUCAGCUUGUUGGUGGGGUGAUGGCCUACCGAAGGCGACGACGGGUAGCCGG
RNAcentral lists this ribosomal RNA (265 nucleotides) under uncultured bacterium. RNAcentral describes it as "partial small subunit ribosomal RNA". It matches the Rfam family "Bacterial small subunit ribosomal RNA", at positions 26 to 290 of the family's 1533-position model. The record is from RNAcentral.